Molecule: ribosomal RNA, 253 nt
Filed under: uncultured bacterium
Lineage: Bacteria
Description: partial 16S ribosomal RNA
Rfam family: Bacterial small subunit ribosomal RNA
Source: RNAcentral
UACGUAGGGCGCAAGCGUUGUCCGGAAUUAUUGGGCGUAAAGAGCUCGUAGGCGGUUUGUCGCGUCUGCUGUGAAAACCUAAGGCUCAACCUUGGGCUUGCAGUGGGUACGGGCAGACUAGAGUGCGGUAGGGGUGACUGGAAUUCCUGGUGUAGCGGUGGAAUGCGCAGAUAUCAGGAGGAACACCGAUGGCGAAGGCAGGUCACUGGGCCGCAACUGACGCUGAGGAGCGAAAGCAAGGGGAGCGAACAGG